AUUGAACGCUGGCGGCAGGCCUAACACAUGCAAGUCGAGCGGAAACGACCUAGCUUGCUAGGGGCGUCGAGCGGCGGACGGGUGAGUAACGCGUAGGAAUUUACCAUGUAGUGGGGGAUAACGUUCGGAAACGAACGCUAAUACCGCAUAAGCUCUAAGGAGGAAAGCGGGGGAUCUUCGGACCUCGUGCUAUAUGAUGAGCCUGCGUCGGAUUAGCUAGUUGGUGGGGUAAAGGCCUACCAAGGCGACGAUCCGUAGCUGGUCUGAGAGGAUGAUCAGCCACACUGGGACUGAGACACGGCCCAG
RNAcentral lists this ribosomal RNA (306 nucleotides) under uncultured bacterium. RNAcentral's name for it is "bacterial SSU rRNA". It matches the Rfam family "Bacterial small subunit ribosomal RNA", at positions 30 to 334 of the family's 1533-position model. The record is from RNAcentral.